UGGGGACUACGACCGCAAGGUUAAAACUCAAAGGAAUUGACGGGGACCCGCACAAGCGGUGGAGCAUGUGGUUUAAUUCGAUGCAACGCGAAGAACCUUACCUACCCUUGACAUCCUAAGAAGACAAAAGAGAUUUUGUUGUGCCUUCGGGAACUUAGAGACAGGUGCUGCAUGGCUGUCGUCAGCUCGUGUCGUGAGAUGUUGGGUUAAGUCCCGCAACGAGCGCAACCCUUAUGUUUAGUUGCCAUCAUUAAGUUGGGCACUUCUAAAGAGACUGCCGCUGAUAAGCGGAGGAAGGUGGGGACGACGUCAAGUCAUCAUGGCCCUUACGGGUAGGGCUACACACGUGCUACAAUGGGCAUUACAGAGGGCAGCGAAGGGGUGACCUGGAGCGAAACCCAGAAAGAUGUUCGUAGUCCGGAUUGAUCUCUGCAACUCGAGAUCAUGAAGUCGGAAUCGCUAGUAAUCGCGAAUCAGAAUGUCGCGGUGAAUACGUUCCCGGGUCUUGUACACACCGCCCGUCACACCAUGGGAGUGGGUUGCAAAAGAA
Molecule: ribosomal RNA, 550 nt
Filed under: uncultured bacterium
Lineage: Bacteria
Description: bacterial SSU rRNA
Rfam family: Bacterial small subunit ribosomal RNA
Source: RNAcentral